RNAcentral lists this long non-coding RNA (219 nucleotides) under Monodelphis domestica (gray short-tailed opossum). RNAcentral's name for it is "lncRNA (ENSMODG00000046549.1)". The record is from RNAcentral. Lineage: Eukaryota; Metazoa; Chordata; Mammalia; Didelphimorphia; Didelphidae.
CAUUCUUGAUGAAAUGAUCAAAGCUAAUAAAAGAAAAUUCAAUGAUCAUAUUAAAAACUCAAAAGAAGCAUAAAAAAGAUACAGCUGAUGAUGUUCGCCAUAUAAAUGAUCAAGGGCAGCUUUUAUGACUUUUGAGCUAAUACAAUUGCAGCAUUCAAAUGAAUUUAAGGCUCUAGCGGAUGACACAAUCACACCAUCUAACAAAAUAGGCUUUUCCUA